Molecule: long non-coding RNA, 551 nt
Organism: Heterocephalus glaber (naked mole-rat)
Lineage: Eukaryota; Metazoa; Chordata; Mammalia; Rodentia; Bathyergidae
Source: RefSeq, a predicted model, not a curated record
GAUAUAAAAAUAAGUCAGACCCUGAGAUUUCUCAGAGGGAACCUGGACAUUGCUUGUGGAGGUUCUUUCUCAUCGCCGGCCCAGGACAACUCCCCUUCCUACUCUACAUCGACUGCAGCUGGUCUGCGGCACAUGAUUUCACUUACAUGCAGUACUUGGAGGUCCACAUCUCCUUCUGCCAACUCUACAGAAGCAUUGUGGGGCAGUGUGAAGAUCAAAGGAAGUCCAAGAGAUCUGCCCACUAACUCCCUUGUGAUUGACAUUUAAAAUUGUUCAAAAGAUUCAAAUAGAGCUCUUCAAAUGUAACUGACUGAGGACAAAGAAAUAAAGAAAGCACAGUCAGAAAUGUGCCGUUACCAUUCCAGGGCACUGGAAAUGAUGGACUUACUGAAGAGGGAAGACCCACCCUGAGUGUGGAUGGCUUGCAGCCUAAAUGGAAUGAAAAGGGAAUUCAAAAGGAAAUUGCACUGCUUCCUGCCUGCCAUACAUGGACUAUUUCUCCCCUGCCAUUCCCCUCUGCUAUGCUGCCCUGCCUUGGAACCAGCUGAUGA